RNAcentral lists this ribosomal RNA (362 nucleotides) under uncultured cyanobacterium. Its description in RNAcentral is "bacterial SSU rRNA". It matches the Rfam family "Bacterial small subunit ribosomal RNA", at positions 408 to 784 of the family's 1533-position model. The record is from RNAcentral. Lineage: Bacteria; Bacillati; Cyanobacteriota.
AGGCAGGCUCUUGGGUUGUAAACCUCUUUUCUCAGGGAAGAACAAAAUGACGGUACCUGAGGAAUAAGCAUCGGCUAACUCCGUGCCAGCAGCCGCGGUAAUACGGAGGAUGCAAGCGUUAUCCGGAAUGAUUGGGCGUAAAGCGUCCGCAGGUGGCAUUGAAAGUCUGCUGUUAAAGAGUCUGGCUCAACCAGAUAAAGGCAGUGGAAACUACAAAGCUAGAGUACGUUCGGGGCAGAGGGAAUUCCUGGUGUAGCGGUGAAAUGCGUAGAGAUCAGGAAGAACACCGGUGGCGAAGGCGCUCUGCUAGGCCGUAACUGACACUGAGGGACGAAAGCUAGGGGAGCGAAUGGAAUUAGAUA